CAGCCGCCGCGGUAAUGCGAGAGGGGCAAGCGUUGUUCGGAAUUAUUGGGCGUAAAGGGCGCGUAGGCGGUUUGGCAAGUUUGGUGUGAAAUCUUCGGGCUCAACUCGAAGUCUGCACCGAAAACUGCCGGGCUUGAGUAUGGGAGAGGUGAGUGGAAUUUCCGGUGUAGCGGUGAAAUGCGUAGAUAUCGGAAGGAACACCUGUGGCGAAAGCGGCUCACUGGACCAUUACUGACGCUGAGGCGCGAAAGCUAGGGGAGCAAACAGGAUUAGAUACCCGUGUAGUCCCUGUCUCUUAUAC
RNAcentral lists this ribosomal RNA (301 nucleotides) under uncultured bacterium. RNAcentral's name for it is "partial 16S ribosomal RNA". It matches the Rfam family "Bacterial small subunit ribosomal RNA", at positions 509 to 807 of the family's 1533-position model. The record is from RNAcentral.